This is a long non-coding RNA of Phascolarctos cinereus (koala), 1639 nucleotides long. The record is from Ensembl. Lineage: Eukaryota; Metazoa; Chordata; Mammalia; Diprotodontia; Phascolarctidae.
CUAUUAUGUACCAAAUCAAGAAACCUACAUCAAGUCCCAGCUCCAGUGAGCUGUGUGACUACUUGAAAGUCACUUCAUAUCUCCAAACCUCAGUUUCCUCUUCUAUAGAAUGGAGGCAGGAUAAGAAUAUUCAUAAUUCUUUUGUUUUAUGGGUUGAAGUGAAGAAAACAUUUUGAAAAACUAUAGAAAUGUGAGUUAUUCUUAAACUGAAAGAAAGAACAGGUCCCAGUUUGUCUUCUACUUGUCCUAGUGACUCACACUCUAUUUUUUUUCUUGUUUGAGCUGUAGGUGGCAAAGCACAAGAUCAGAAAAAGAUACCCUCAUGUCCCUGUAUCGUCACUGAGUAAAUAACAGGUGCCAGUAUUAUCCCAUCUGUGAGAAGGCAUACAGUUAACAUCUGGAUUUGUCUCAACUUUGUCCUGCUUUGCUGGUCUUCCUCAUGGUAUGCACUUUAUCCAACCCUUAGCAUCUGUGAUUUCAUCCAAUGAGGCAUUCCUUCCGAAGAUAUAGGUAUCAGCCUUUCUCCAAAGCUCCAUCCUCUUCAGUUUGUGUUCAGGUGGAUCGACAGAAAAAGAAGACUUCCAUUGCAUUAGGGAGAUCAUCUGAACAAAGAUUUCGAGCUGGAUGCAAGAGGCAACUUCUAACACACAAACAGGGAAACGCCACUGUUGGUCCCUCCUUUUAGCUCUUCCUCUUGUCCUAUUGAACUUAAUGAAUUCCACAAAUACUGGAUUUGUUCAAAGGUAGAUUGGAAACCUCUGAUUAUGAUGGAGCCAUGAAAGGUAGUAGAGGAUUCCAGCAUUCCCACGUAUAGUAGAGCAGUGUUUUUUCUAAAGGCAUCACAUUUAGGGAAACCAAGACACGAGCCAGACCUGCAGUUUAUUUUAGAGAAUUCUUGGACCAUAACUAUGAGGGCAAUGAGUCAAAGAGAAAAUGUGGCCAUUUGGAGUUGGCUCCAAGGAUAAAAAACAAUUAGUGGGAACCCAGAGUUUUGAGGGACCUUGCUUGAAUGCCCUAUUCCAUCCCUCAUCUCAAUGCAGUUGAACACUUGGCCCCUCACAGUUGAAAUUUUCUUCAUCCUCUUAACUGCCUCUCAAGAACACUUAGCUUCUUUCAGUACUCACCUUAAGCACCACUUCCUCUAGGAUGCUUUCUCUGAUCUCCUUCUCCCAUGUUUUAAUGUCCUAUCCUCAAAUUCCCCGAACCUGCUUCUGCAAUUACCCUGGUCUACCCUCAUCACUUCACUCCUGGACUAUCUCAGUACGCUGCUGGUUGGUCUCUCUGCCACCAGCCUCUCCUCAGUCAGUCCCAUUAUCCACUCUGCUGUCAAAGGGAUUUUUCUAAAGUUCAGGUGUGAUCACAUCAUCUCUCUAUUCAGUAAACUUUAGUGAUUCCCUAUCUCCUCUAGGAUAAAAUAUAAAAUUAGUUUAUGUUUGCUGUUUGAUGUUAUUAUGAUCAAAAUCAAGGUAAACUGAGCACAAAGUCCUGAGCACAAUCAAUUUAUUGACAAAGCACAAAUUUGCCAACACAGUCUAGGUCCCUCAGAAAAGCUAAGACCCCCCAAACAAGGGAGACAAUGCUCUUUUAUAGAAAAAAGGAAGAGGCAGAAUAAAAGGCAGCAUUAUAGAUGGGUGAAACA